AUUGAACGCUGGCGGCAUGCUUUACACAUGCAAGUCGAACGGUAACAGGCCGCAAGGUGCUGACGAGUGGCGAACGGGUGAGUAAUGCAUCGGAACGUGCCCAGUCGUGGGGGAUAACGCAGCGAAAGCUACGCUAAUACCGCAUACGAUCUGUGGAUGAAAGCGGGGGACCGUAAGGCCUCGCGCGAUUGGAGCGGCCGAUGUCAGAUUAGGUAGUUGGUGAGGUAACGGCUCACCAAGCCGACGAUCUGUAGCUGGUCUGAGAGGACGACCAGCCAAACGGGGACUGAGACACGGCCCAGACUCCUACGCGAGGAAGUAGCGGGGAACUUUUGACAAUGGGCGCAAGCCUGAUCCAGCAAUGCCGCGUGCAGGAUGUAGGCCCUCGGGUUGUAAACUGCUUUUGUACGGAGCGAAACGGCUUCCACUCAUACUGGGGGCUAAUGACGGUACCGUAAGAAUAAGCACCGGCUAACUACGUGCCAGCAGCCGCGGUAA
This 498-nucleotide ribosomal RNA is filed under the name uncultured bacterium. Its description in RNAcentral is "partial 16S ribosomal RNA". It matches the Rfam family "Bacterial small subunit ribosomal RNA", at positions 30 to 523 of the family's 1533-position model. The record is from RNAcentral.